CUCCGAACAAGAAAUAGCCUGAUCAUGACAGUAUUCAAAGUACAAAUUUAGAAACAAAGACAGGGAGAGAAGUGAAGGGUGGUGGUUGGGGGGUAAUUUUGCGACAACUUUCAGUCUUCUUUAUCAGCAAAUCAGUAUACAGGACCUUACAUGAUACUUUCAUUGAUAGAACUUGCCCAUCACUGUACAAAACAGAAUUAUGUUACCAAAAUUAUUUUUGGCAAACAUAGAAUUAUAGAGGAAGGGAAGGAGGAGAAAAUUUUAAGGGAGAAGAUUAGUCACCCUCUAGAUAAUAAAACAUGACAUGACCGACGGUUAAUGCUGGCAAUGUUUUAGACACGGGACAAAUGAUCAAAACCUAGUAUUCAAACUCUAGUUCUGCAAGAAAGAUAAAAACAGCACAAUACCUACCAACUACAUAAAUUAAAGCAUGCAAAACCAUAAACUACGCAAGAUGAGAAACAAGAGGGAGAUGAUAUUUCCAAAUUUUGGGUAACAAUGAAAAAUUGAAAGUUUAAAGAACCACAAUGAUAACAAAAAAGGGUAAAAGGAAAAGGAGAAGGAAUAACUGGAAGAAAUACAAAAACAAAAAUUUAGAACAGACCUGCAAUUAUUGUCAUUGGGU
RNAcentral lists this unclassified non-coding RNA (625 nucleotides) under Hevea brasiliensis (rubber tree). The record is from RNAcentral. Lineage: Eukaryota; Viridiplantae; Streptophyta; Magnoliopsida; Malpighiales; Euphorbiaceae.